AGUGAACGCUGGCGGUAGGCCUAACACAUGCAAGUCGAACGGCAGCACAGUAAGAGCUUGCUCUUACGGGUGGCGAGUGGCGGACGGGUGAGGAAUACAUCGGAAUCUACUUUUUCGUGGGGGAUAACGUAGGGAAACUUACGCUAAUACCGCAUACGACCUACGGGUGAAAGCAGGGGAUCUUCGGACCUUGCGCGAUUGAAUGAGCCGAUGUCGGAUUAGCUAGUUGGCGGGGUAAAGGCCCACCAAGGCGACGAUCCGUAGCUGGUCUGAGAGGAGGAUAAGCCACACUGGAACUGAGACACGGUCCAGACGCCUACGGGAGGCAGCAGUGGGGAAUAUUGGAAAAUGGGCGCAAGCCUGAUCCAGCCAUACCGCGUGGGUGAAGAAGGCCUUCGGGUUGUAAAGCCCUUUUGUUGGGAAAGAAAAGCAGCAGGUUAAUACCCCGCUGUUCUGACGGUACCCAAAGAAUAAGCACCGGCUAACUUCGU
Molecule: ribosomal RNA, 491 nt
Filed under: uncultured bacterium
Lineage: Bacteria
Description: partial 16S ribosomal RNA
Rfam family: Bacterial small subunit ribosomal RNA
Source: RNAcentral